GUAGGUGGCAAGCGUUGUCCGGAAUUAUUGGGCGUAAAGCGCGCGCAGGCGGUUCUUUAAGUCUGAUGUGAAAGCCCACGGCUCAACCGUGGAGGGUCAUUGGAAACUGGAGAACUUGAGUACAGAAGAGGAAAGCGGAAUUCCACGUGUAGCGGUGAAAUGCGUAGAGAUGUGGAGGAACACCAGUGGCGAAGGCGGCUUUCUGGUCUGUAACUGACGCUGAGGCGCGAAAGCGUGGGGGGGCAAACAGGGAUUAGAUACCCUGGUAGUCCACGCCGUAAACGAUGAGUGCUAAGUGUUAGGGGGGUUUCCGCCCCCUUAGUGCUGCAGCUAACGCAUUAAGCACUCCGCCUGGGGAUACGGCCGCAAGGCUG
RNAcentral lists this ribosomal RNA (374 nucleotides) under uncultured organism. RNAcentral's name for it is "partial 16S ribosomal RNA". It matches the Rfam family "Bacterial small subunit ribosomal RNA", at positions 527 to 896 of the family's 1533-position model. The record is from RNAcentral.